Molecule: long non-coding RNA, 791 nt
Organism: Hippocampus comes (tiger tail seahorse)
Lineage: Eukaryota; Metazoa; Chordata; Actinopteri; Syngnathiformes; Syngnathidae
Exons: 2
Source: RefSeq, a predicted model, not a curated record
UUCAUCUAAUACAAAAGUUGCAGUACCUUCACUCAAAUCAAAAUUCCCCAUUGAAAUGAAUUGAAAUGAUGUUAAUUCGUUCCAGCCUCCACAAAGCAAAAAUUGUGUGGGUGUGUACGUGGUUAAGAAAAAUAAGAAAUAUUCACUGUAUUGAUUCGCAACAACAACCGCGAUGUGACCUGUGUCUUGGCAGGAAGUUUGCCAGUUUGUCUGCGCGAGUUUUGUCCUAAAGUAGCUCUUUGCUGGCAUUUUCAUUGUGUUGCUGCGCGUUUUGACUUUUUUCUCCAUGUCCGCAACCGUCCGUUCUGUUGUUGCUGUAAUACUCGUGCGACUCGAAUUCGUGGAGACAAAUUCGUGUUUUUAUAUACUCAGCCCAUAAAGAUGAUUCUGAUCCUGAAUCUGAUUCCGAAAGCGAAUUGGCGCCUGUCGCUCUCCUUCUUUUCACUUCACUUGAGAGGAAGUGCAUCCAAGACUCACUUGAAAUGAAAUUUUUGGCUAACGGGUUAACCCUAAUUGUAGCCGCAACACAAAACAAAACAAAAAAGUCAAACCAAACUAUCUAUCGUAACUUGAAUAACUUGUAAGCUGGGACGCUGGUUCGUCGAGGUGCCACUUGGAGACAAAUGAACAAAUUCACGCGCGCAGCGGGAAAUAUGUUGAAUUUCAUUGUUCAUUGCGUGAGGAAGUGUUCACUCCUCGUGUUCAGACAUGCUUGCAAUCCAAAAUCAGAGUGCGGAAGGUGUCGGUCAGCGUGGCAUUCCGCAAGUGUCGAUGUGGUAUGCGGCGCCCAC